This 497-nucleotide ribosomal RNA is filed under the name uncultured bacterium. RNAcentral's name for it is "partial 16S ribosomal RNA". It matches the Rfam family "Bacterial small subunit ribosomal RNA", at positions 28 to 507 of the family's 1533-position model. The record is from RNAcentral.
GAUGAACGCUGGCGGCGUGCCUAAUACAUGCAAGUCGAGCGAACAGACGAGGAGCUUGCUCCUCUGACGUUAGCGGCGGACGGGUGAGUAACACGUGGAUAACCUACCUAUAAGACUGGGAUAACUUCGGGAAACCGGAGCUAAUACCGGAUAAUAUAUUGAACCGCAUGGUUCAAUAGUGAAAGACGGUUUUGCUGUCACUUAUAGAUGGAUCCGCACCGCAUUAGCUAGUUGGCAAGGUAACGGCUUACCAAGGCAACGAUGCGUAGCCGACCUGAGAGGGUGGUCGGCCACACUGGAACUGAGACACGGUCCAGACUCCUACGGGGGGCAGCAGUAGGGAAUCUUCCGCAAUGGGCGAAAGCCUGACGGAGCAACGCCGCGUGAGUGAUGAAGGUCUUCGGAUCGUAAAACUCUGUUAUUAGGGAAGAACAAAUGUGUAAGUAACUAUGCACGUCUUGACGGUACCUAAUCAGAAAGCCACGGCUAACUACGUG